UGUGACCCGCGUGCACCUCAGCGUUUGCAGACAGUUGUCAAAACGGGGACCGCUAACGGCUGCGCGCUCUUGGCAUUUAAUUUUAAAUCACCUGCAAAACUAAUCAUUAGUAUUGGUGCUUCAUAAAUCAAUCUCUGAAUUGAAGAUCUGAUUGCGGAGAGGUAUCUUUGAGGUAGCCAGACCUGAUUUGAGGAAGACAAGAAGCUGUAACAGAAAACUCGAAUGCACUGUAGAACCAGACACCGGCCACAGGCCCAGAUCGAAGACUUUGAAUUGGGCCACCCAACAUCUACCCUAUAAAUGAACGGCUGGAGUGCAUGAAGGAGCAGGCCCUACAGACCCAAAGCUGCAGGAUCUCCAUGAGACAGGGCAACAGCAAGAUAUCCAAGAGGGGUCCCAAUGAUGAUCCAGUAGUAAUAGAGUUGCAGAAACCAGAGGCCCAAUACCACCAGAGUGCAAUGGCUAGUGUGUGCAGAUCUGAGGCUUAUGAUGACCUUUGUCAAACUGUCUCUGCAAGUACAAGGCACUCUUCCACCAGCUCCAUCUGAGUUGUACAUGCUCACCAACACGCAGCACAACUGCUUCAACUUCGGCCUUCCGAUGAAUGGACCUGUCUCCCAUGGAGAUCUGUAAAUUGCUUCACGGCUACCAAGUGUUCCCAAUUCUUUCCCUGCCUAUAAUAGUUCUACCUUUGCCUGUCUUUCCAUUAGUCAUUGGUGAGAGUGAAAAAGAAGAGACCUUACGUAGAGAUGUUCAAAUGUGUAUGUCAGUUGAUAAGUAGAUAGGCAGAAUGUUGCCUUCUGGAGGGAUCUAGGCUGGAGAUGGGAUUUAGGAGUCAUGAAGGAACACAUAGUGGCUAUAGGCCACUUAGGCACUUUAAUAAGACUCCCCGAUGGUUGUGCAUGAACACAAAGUUUAGAGUCAAACUUAGGAGCACAUUAAUAUCCAAGAGGUAAGAAACAGAGACAGAGUAAGGGGGAACGUAGGACUCCUUGUUCAAACUGCACAAGACAAUAGUUAAAACUGUAUGGAGCACUUCCCACAUGCUCUCCCUCUUCCUGUCCUCAUAGCUUUCAUUUGCUAUUUAAUGCCAUUCCAAGAAAUACACUUUUGAAUUUUUAGCACAGUUUAAUCAUUUGUCUUCACAUUGUGUUAACGUUUAAAAUUUUAUGGCAUAUAAUUUACACAUAAUAAAUUUGCCCAUCUAAAGUA
This is a long non-coding RNA of Rattus norvegicus (Norway rat), 1212 nucleotides long. RefSeq lists it as uncharacterized. NCBI's taxonomy places the organism in Eukaryota, Metazoa, Chordata, Mammalia, Rodentia, Muridae. The record is from RefSeq and is a predicted model, not a curated record.